Molecule: ribosomal RNA, 329 nt
Filed under: uncultured fungus
Lineage: Eukaryota; Fungi
Description: eukaryotic LSU rRNA
Rfam family: 5.8S ribosomal RNA (bases 1-126)
Source: RNAcentral
UGCAUCGAUGAAGAACGCAGCGAAAUGCGAUAAGUAGUGUGAAUUGCAGAAUUUAGUGAAUCAUCGAAUUUUUGAACGCAUAUUGCGCCCUUUGGUAUUCCAUUGGGCAUGCCUGUUCGAGCGUCAUAUGUAAAUCAAGCAUAGCUUGGUGUUGAGUAUUUGUCCUCUGGACUGACUUGAAAAACAUUGGCCACUCCUAUAUUAUGCAUAGUGCAGCACAUGUUACACUAUAGCCACUAUAUAUGUGUCCAAGAAGCCUACUUCUACUAGCUUGACCUCGGAUCAGGUAGGGAUACCCGCUGAACUUAAGCAUAUCAAUAAGCGGAGGA